RNAcentral lists this long non-coding RNA (1535 nucleotides) under Numida meleagris (helmeted guineafowl). RNAcentral's name for it is "lncRNA (ENSNMEG00000001902.1)". Lineage: Eukaryota; Metazoa; Chordata; Aves; Galliformes; Numididae. The record is from RNAcentral.
CUGGCUGACGCCGUUCUUGAUCCCGUUGAUGCUCGCUCUGCCGUUCCCGAUUCGCUUGAUCCCGUUCUCGAUCCGGUUGACCCCGUUCUCGAUCCCGCCGUGCCGCCGCGGGUUUCGCCGCCUCCUCGGCCUCGUCGGGCUCCAAACCCAGAACCAACCACGAGUGGAUGAGGGACGGGACGUAUCCUUGCACCAGCGGCUCCAACAACGCCGGCUGCCCCAUUAAGCGCUGCAGCAAACGAAGGGCGCGGGGGGCGGGGUCCGGGACCCCCGUCAGAUAGCGGAGGAAGCCCGUCACCACGGGGGGGGAAGCGAAAGCGGCCAAAGCCAAGAGAACCCGGGGUCUCCAACCCCGCGCUUUGGGGUCCCCCAGCAGGGACACCAAAGUCCCCAACCCCCCCGCCGCCCUCACCUUGGCCCGGUUGACAGCUUCGCGGCACAGCAGGCACAGCGCCCGCAGCGCCGGGCCGCCGCCGUGGCACGCGGCGCCGGUGAGGGGCAACCUCUUGCCCACCCCCCCCGGGGAGACGCCGUCCCUCCCGUCGGGCGUCACCAUCCGCGUCACCUCGCGGGUGACGGCCUCGACCGCCCCGACCGAACCCAGGGCCGGGCGCAGAGCAGCCCGGUGACACAGGUUGGCGAUGGCGGCCAAGGCCGGGCGGCGACGGUCGCGUUGGGGGCCGGCGGCCAGCUGGGCCAAGGGACGGAGAGCCGGGAGAGCGUCGUCCAAGGAGGAGGUGGGGGGUUCCGUCAGGUGGCGGAGGGCGCGGGUGACGGACGGGCAGGCCGGGUGGCUCGGGGCCAUGGCGGCCAAGCGGGAGGCCAAGGCGCGGAGGGCACCGGCGCGGCACAGGGAGACGCGGCAGCGGGGGGAAGCGGCGAGGAUGCGGAGGGCGCGGGACGCGCUGUGAAGGCACUCCGGGCUGGAGCAGGUGGAGGUCAGGGACACCAGGAGGGGACCGGCGCCUGCGGGGACAAGAAAGGGGGAGGGGAUGCUGAUCUAGAACCAGCUGUGGGUGGAGAACCCAUCGGGGACAUCGGUUGGGGACAAUAGAGGGGGAUGCGGGAGGAUGUAGAAGCUGCCGAGGGGGGAGAGCCCGUUGGGGACAUCACCUGGGGACAAUACAGAGUGAUGUGGGGGGAUCUAGAACCUGUCGGGGGGGAGAACUCAUUGGGGACAUCACUUGGGGACAAUAGCAAGGGAUAUGAGGGGAUCUAGAACCCAUUUGGGGGGGAAAACCCAUUGCUGAGAUCACUGAAAGACAACACAGCAGAAUGCGGGGGGAUCUAGAACCCGUUGGGGGUGGAGAACCCAUUGGGGACAUCGGUUGGGGACAAUAGAGGGGGAUGCAGGAGAAUGUAGAAGCCGUCGAGGGGGGAGAGCCCGUUGGGGACAUCACCUGGGGACAAUAUAGAGUGAUGUGGGGGGAUCUAGAACCCGUUGGAGGGGAGAACUCAUUGGGGACAUCACUUGGGGACAAUAACAAGGGAUAUGAGGGGAUCUAGAACCCAUUUGAGGGGGAAAACCCAUUGCU